This is a non-coding RNA of Necator americanus (New World hookworm), 46 nucleotides long. The record is from Rfam. Lineage: Eukaryota; Metazoa; Nematoda; Chromadorea; Rhabditida; Ancylostomatidae.
CCAACGGCCCUCUUUAGGGCCACAGUUGUUUACGAGUACUUUCUUG